CAUCAACCCAACAGGCUUUAUCGACUCUAGUCAAUCAAACGGUUCAAUUCUCCACUACUGAACCCACUGCUAUCAUCAGCCCAACCGACUUUAUCGACUCUAGUCAAUCAAACGUUCAAUUCUCCACUAAUGAACCAACUGCUAUCAUCAACCCAACAGACUUUAUCGACUCUAGUCAAUCAAACGGU
Long non-coding RNA from Ctenocephalides felis (cat flea), 188 nucleotides. RefSeq lists it as uncharacterized. Lineage: Eukaryota; Metazoa; Arthropoda; Insecta; Siphonaptera; Pulicidae. The record is from RefSeq and is a predicted model, not a curated record. The transcript is spliced from 3 exons.